GACGAACCGUGCGAACGUUAUUCGGAAUUACUGGGCGUAAAGGGCUCGUAGGCGGCCAACUAAGUCAUACGUGAAAUCCCUCAGCUUAACUGGGGAACUGCGUGUGAUACUGGAUGGCUUGGAUUUGGGAGAGGGAUGCGGAAUUCCAGGUGUAGCGGUGAAAUGCGUAGAUAUCUGGAGGAACACCUGUGGCGAAGGCGGCCCCCUGGUUGGAUACUGACGCUGAUACGCGAAAGCGUGGGGAGCAAACAGG
This 253-nucleotide ribosomal RNA is filed under the name uncultured bacterium. Its description in RNAcentral is "partial 16S ribosomal RNA". It matches the Rfam family "Bacterial small subunit ribosomal RNA", at positions 524 to 776 of the family's 1533-position model. The record is from RNAcentral.